UUAUUGUUAAAACCACUCUCUUGAAAUCAUUUGAUCUGAACUAGCUCAUAUUGAAUUACUAUCCCCGCUUUGUUUCAAGGAAUAA
Molecule: non-coding RNA, 85 nt
Filed under: Fragilariopsis kerguelensis
Lineage: Eukaryota; Bacillariophyta; Bacillariophyceae; Bacillariales; Bacillariaceae
Source: RNAcentral